UAGCUAGUUGGUGGGGUAAGGGCCUACCAAGGCGACGAUCGGUAGCUGGUCUGAGAGGACGGCCAGCCACACUGGAACUGAGACACGGUCCAGACUCCUACGGGAGGCAGCAGUGGGGAAUAUUGGACAAUGGGGGCAACCCUGAUCCAGCAAUGCCGCGUGUGUGAAGAAGGCCUGAGGGUUGUAAAGCACUUUCAGUGGGGAGGAGGAUUGAUUGUUUAAGAGAUGAUUAAUUGGACGUUACCCACAGAAGAAGCACCGGCUAACUCCGUGCCAGCAGCCGCGGUAAUACGGAGGGUGCGAGCGUUAAUCGGAAUUACUGGGCGUAAAGGGUGCGUAGGUGGUUGUAUAAGUUAUCUGUGAAAUUCCUGGGCUUAACCUGGGGUGGUCAGAUAAGACUGUAUGACUCGAGUAUGGGAGAGGGUAGUGGAAUUUCCGGUGUAGCGGUGAAAUGCGUAGAGAUCGGAAGGAACACCAGUGGCGAAGGCGGCUACCUGGCCUAAUACUGACACUGAGGCACGAAAGCGUGGGGAGCAAACAGGAUUAGAUACCCUGGUAGUCCACGCUGUAAACGAUGUCAACUAGCUGUUGGUUAUAUGAAUAUAAUUAGUGGCGC
This 616-nucleotide ribosomal RNA is filed under the name uncultured Legionella sp. RNAcentral's name for it is "bacterial SSU rRNA". It matches the Rfam family "Bacterial small subunit ribosomal RNA", at positions 242 to 849 of the family's 1533-position model. The record is from RNAcentral. Lineage: Bacteria; Pseudomonadati; Pseudomonadota; Gammaproteobacteria; Legionellales; Legionellaceae.